This 228-nucleotide long non-coding RNA is filed under the name Ricinus communis (castor bean). Its description in RNAcentral is "long non-coding RNA (RCOM_LNC002586)". The record is from RNAcentral. Lineage: Eukaryota; Viridiplantae; Streptophyta; Magnoliopsida; Malpighiales; Euphorbiaceae.
GUUUAUAUAAAACUAUCAAAGUGCAGAAGCGUACCCCGGUUUCUUAAUAUUAGCUGUGCUAUAAUGAGGGUGCGCAAUGCAGUGAGCCAGUUGGCUGUUACUCUGGUAACCAAAAGGGGAACACCGGCGUCGCGUCGUAGUAUAAAGGAAUCGAAAACAAGGAGCAACAAUAGCCGCUUUUUCAACGGAAUUUGACUAGCGGUUUUCCAAAACCACAGAAAGUGUUGC